GAAAAUGGAUGGAUAGAAACAGGAAAUAGCGAACGGCUGCGACGUGCCUACGCAAACUGGGCAGACUGGUUUUGGGGCCAGUACCUCCCACUGGGUGUGUUUACUUUCUCAUCAUAAAAAGGAGGCUGACGGACGUGACUUUGUCUCUUUUUUUUUUUUUUCUUCUCAUCGUUCAACGAGAACCUGCCAGACUCGUGCUCCUCAUCAGCCGGCCAAACAAAACAAAAAACCGGAAAAAUGAUCCGAGUUGAGGUUGAGUAUUGCGGCAGCUGAGGUUACGGCUCUAAAUUUAGUGCUCUGGCCGCAGACCUCAAGAAGGAUUUUCCAGAUAUCGACGUAAUGGGAUACGUUGGCAGGAGAAGCAGUUUUGAGGUGAAGGUGAACGGAAACUUGGUCCACUCCAAGUUGAGUUCGGGAAGCUUCCCGUCCGCAAAGAAGAUCGGUGAGGAGAUAAUGAAGGCUGAAAGAGGCAAAUAGAAGAAGACGAGAUGAUGAGGAACACCAGAGCAUGAUGGGAAAGACUCGCAGGGGCCGGACGCCGACCGUCCUCCUUUUCAUGACUGUGCGGGCCGAAAUCGAAGAAAAGCGCGACACACGAUGCCUCAGGAGGCCGUCGGCUGAGCCGGAGUCUGCGGGUGCUUCUCCCAUCGUGGCCGUCUGGUUCACGCUUCAUGUAAUCAGCAGCCCUACAAAUUGCUUCUAAUUGGAUACAAACACACACACAAAAUAAAGUGCUUUUUUGCUCUCGGGGGUCAAAACUUUGACAGCGAUGCCUUCGUGGUAACGGCUCAAGUUGGGAAAAUCAGAGGGAAACGAUGAAAAUGGAAAGUGCAAAAUUUUGGCCUUUGUGUUGUUUGAAGCACGCGCGAUUCGUCUGUGAUUCAAGCCAAUAAACUGCAGCUUUACCCGCAAA
This is a long non-coding RNA of Syngnathoides biaculeatus (alligator pipefish), 913 nucleotides long. RefSeq lists it as uncharacterized. Lineage: Eukaryota; Metazoa; Chordata; Actinopteri; Syngnathiformes; Syngnathidae. The record is from RefSeq and is a predicted model, not a curated record. The transcript has 6 exons.